This 450-nucleotide ribosomal RNA is filed under the name uncultured bacterium. RNAcentral's name for it is "partial 16S ribosomal RNA". It matches the Rfam family "Bacterial small subunit ribosomal RNA", at positions 354 to 796 of the family's 1533-position model. The record is from RNAcentral.
GUAGGGAAUCUUCCACAAUGGACGCAAGUCUGAUGGAGCAACGCCGCGUGAGUGAAGAAGGUUUUCGGAUCGUAAAGCUCUGUUGUUGGUGAAGAAGGAUAGAGGCAGUAACUGGUCUUUAUUUGACGGUAAUCAACCAGAAAGUCACGGCUAACUACGUGCCAGCAGCCGCGGUAAUACGUAGGUGGCAAGCGUUGUCCGGAUUUAUUGGGCGUAAAGCGAGCGCAGGCGGAAUGAUAAGUCUGAUGUGAAAGCCCACGGCUCAACCGUGGAACUGCAUCGGAAACUGUCAUUCUUGAGUGCAGAAGAGGAGAGUGGAACUCCAUGUGUAGCGGUGGAAUGCGUAGAUAUAUGGAAGAACACCAGUGGCGAAGGCGGCUCUCUGGUCUGCAACUGACGCUGAGGCUCGAAAGCAUGGGUAGCGAACAGGAUUAGAUACCCGUGUAGUCC